RNAcentral lists this transfer-messenger RNA (402 nucleotides) under Patescibacteria group bacterium. It matches the Rfam family "transfer-messenger RNA". Rfam says of the family: Bacterial tmRNA, also known as 10Sa RNA or SsrA, is named for its dual tRNA and mRNA-like properties. Its role is to liberate the mRNA from a stalled ribosome. The record is from RNAcentral. RNAcentral also lists the same sequence under 1 other name.
GGGGGUGAACCGCUUCGACAAAAAAGUAACGCAGAGCAACGCAAGAGGGAGCUGCAGUAACUCCUUAAUCUGCUGCAAACGAUAACUGCAAACAGCGUUGUCGCAAAGGCAAAGUCAAUUCUUUCUCCAUUCGGAGCGAAUGACCUUGCUUUCGCCACAGCUCGAGGUUAACUCGCUCUGGCGACGUCAACUCUUGUGAAGUCUGAUAGCAAGAUGUUGGUGUAAUAUUCUCGGACUCUGAAGAAUUGCGUCCCGCCUUUCUUCGAAACUGUAGGGACUCGAUACUGUAAGGUUUUGUUUGCUUCCUACUUACAACAUCUAGACUUCUGAAACAAACUAACUCUUGUAGAAGUUGUUAGGCGGCUUUUUUGGACGGGAGUUCGUUACUCCCCACCUCCACAA